UCCCCUACGGGGCGCAGCAGUAGGGAAUUUUCGUCAGUGGGCGCAAGCCUGAACGAGCAAUGCCGCGUGAACGAGGAAGGUCUUCGGAUCGUAAAGUUCUGUUGAAGGGGAAAAAGAGCGGAGAGAGGAAAUGGUCUCCGAUUGAUAUUACCCUUCGAGGAAGUCACGGCUAACUACGUGCCAGCAGCCGCGGUAAUACGUAGGUGGCGAGCGUUAUCCGGAAUGAUUGGGCGUAAAGGGUGCGUAGGCGGUGUUGUAAGUCAUUAGUCAAAGA
RNAcentral lists this ribosomal RNA (274 nucleotides) under uncultured bacterium. Its description in RNAcentral is "partial 16S ribosomal RNA". It matches the Rfam family "Bacterial small subunit ribosomal RNA", at positions 335 to 601 of the family's 1533-position model. The record is from RNAcentral.